This 351-nucleotide ribosomal RNA is filed under the name Triticum aestivum (bread wheat). Its description in RNAcentral is "partial small subunit ribosomal RNA". The record is from RNAcentral. Lineage: Eukaryota; Viridiplantae; Streptophyta; Magnoliopsida; Poales; Poaceae.
AUACAACAGCCUCCCAACAGUCCUGAUUUGAAUGUGCUUGACCUUGGGUUUUUCAACUCGCUCCAAUCCCUGACAGAUUGUCUGAGUCCUAAAACACUACAAGACCUUAUUAAGGGUGUUUUGGAGGAAUUUGAAGGCUAUGAUGUUUACAAGCUCAACAGAAUUUUCCUAAGUCUGCAGACGUGCAUGAUUGAGAUCCUAAACCAUGCAGGGGGCAAUGGGUAUAAAAUACCCCAUGUAAACAAGGAAAGGCUUGAGGGGAUUGGGCAACUACCUCCAAGAUUAUCAUGCCCUCUAGAGGUUUAUGCAAAUGCAUUAUACAACUUAGAGCUAAUGGAGAGGGUUCAGUAA